GGAUUAGAUACCCUGGUAGUCCACGCCGUAAACGAUGGUCACUAGCUGUUUGGACUUCGGUCUGAGUGGCUAAGCGAAAGUGAUAAGUGACCCACCUGGGGAGUACGUUCGCAAGAAUGAAACUCAAAGGAAUUGACGGGGGCCCGCACAAGCGGUGGAGCAUGUGGUUUAAUUCGAUGAUACGCGAGGAACCUUACCAGGGCUUAAAUGUAGUUUGACAGGGGUAGAGAUACCUUUUUCUUCGGACAGAUUACAAGGUGCUGCAUGGUUGUCGUCAGCUCGUGCCG
RNAcentral lists this ribosomal RNA (287 nucleotides) under uncultured bacterium. RNAcentral describes it as "partial 16S ribosomal RNA". It matches the Rfam family "Bacterial small subunit ribosomal RNA", at positions 775 to 1067 of the family's 1533-position model. The record is from RNAcentral.